RNAcentral lists this ribosomal RNA (253 nucleotides) under uncultured bacterium. Its description in RNAcentral is "partial 16S ribosomal RNA". It matches the Rfam family "Bacterial small subunit ribosomal RNA", at positions 524 to 776 of the family's 1533-position model. The record is from RNAcentral.
UACAGAGGUCCCAAGCGUUGUUCGGAUUCACUGGGCGUAAAGGGUGCGUAGGCGGUCGGGUAAGUCUGAUGUGAAAUCUCACAGCUUAACUGUGAAACUGCAUUGGAUACUAUCCGGCUAGAGGAAUGGAGGGGAGACUGGAAUACUUGGUGUAGCAGUGAAAUGCGUAGAUAUCAAGUGGAACACCAGUGGCGAAGGCGAGUCUCUGGACAUCUCCUGACGCUGAGGCACGAAAGCCAGGGGAGCAAACGGG